CCUACGGGAGGCAGCAGUGGGGAAUUUCGGACAAUGGACGCAAGUCUGAUCCAGCCAUUCCGCGUGCAGGACGAAGGCCUUCGGGUUGUAAACUGCUUUUUGUACGGAACGAAAAAGCUCUUAUUAAUACUAGGAGUCCAUGACGGUACCGUAAGAAUAAGCACCGGCUAACUACGUGCCCGCAGCCGCGGUAAUACGUAGGGUGCAAGCGUUAAUCGGAAUUACUGGGCGUAAAGCGUGCGCAGGCGGUUAUAUAAGACAGAUGUGAAAUCCCCGAGCUUAACUUGGGAACUGCAUUUGUGACUGUAUAGCUAGAGUACGGCAGAGGGGGAUGGAAUUCCGCGUGUAGCAGUGAAAUGCGUAGAUAUGCGGAGGAACACCGAUGGCGAAGGCAAUCCCCUGGGCCUGUACUGACGCUCAUGCACGAAACGCGUGGGGAGCAAACAGGAUUAGAUACCCUGGUAGUCCACGCCCUAAACGAUGUCAACUGGUUGUUGGGUCUUCACUGACUCAGUAACGAAGCUAACGCGUGAAGUUGACCGCCUGGGGAGUACGGCCGCAGGUUGAACGUUAAAGGAAUUGACG
Molecule: ribosomal RNA, 585 nt
Filed under: uncultured bacterium
Lineage: Bacteria
Description: bacterial SSU rRNA
Rfam family: Bacterial small subunit ribosomal RNA
Source: RNAcentral